RNAcentral lists this ribosomal RNA (897 nucleotides) under Streptomyces griseorubiginosus. RNAcentral describes it as "bacterial SSU rRNA". It matches the Rfam family "Bacterial small subunit ribosomal RNA", at positions 55 to 986 of the family's 1533-position model. The record is from RNAcentral. Lineage: Bacteria; Bacillati; Actinomycetota; Actinomycetes; Kitasatosporales; Streptomycetaceae.
AUGCAGUCGACGAUGAACCACUUCGGUGGGGAUUAGUGGCGAACGGGUGAGUAACACGUGGGUAAUCUGCCCUUCACUCUGGGACAAGCCCUGGAAACGGGGUCUAAUACCGGAUAUCACUGCCAUGGGCAUCUGUGGUGGUUGAAAGCUCCGGCGGUGAAGGAUGAGCCCGCGGCCUAUCAGCUUGUUGGUGAGGUAACGGCUCACCAAGGCGACGACGGGUAGCCGGCCUGAGAGGGCGACCGGCCACACUGGGACUGAGACACGGCCCAGACUCCUACGGGAGGCAGCAGUGGGGAAUAUUGCACAAUGGGCGCAAGCCUGAUGCAGCGACGCCGCGUGAGGGAUGACGGCCUUCGGGUUGUAAACCUCUUUCAGCAGGGAAGAAGCGAAAGUGACGGUACCUGCAGAAGAAGCGCCGGCUAACUACGUGCCAGCAGCCGCGGUAAUACGUAGGGCGCAAGCGUUGUCCGGAAUUAUUGGGCGUAAAGAGCUCGUAGGCGGCUUGUCACGUCGGGUGUGAAAGCCCGGGGCUUAACCCCGGGUCUGCAUUCGAUACGGGCAGGCUAGAGUGUGGUAGGGGAGAUCGGAAUUCCUGGGUGUAGCGGUGAAAUGCGCAGAUAUCACGAGGAACACCGGUGGCGAAGGCGGAUCUCUGGGCCAUUACUGACGCUGAGGAGCGAAAGCGUGGGGAGCGAACAGGAUUAGAUACCCUGGUAGUCCACGCCGUAAACGGUGGGAACUAGGUGUUGGCGACAUUCCACGUCGUCGKGCCGCAGCUAACGCAUUAAGUUCCCCGCCUGGGGGAGUACGGCCGCAGGCUAAACUCAAGGAAUGACGGGGCCCGCACAGCAGCGAGCAUGUGCUAUCGACGCACGCGAGACUUACAGCUUGACA